RNAcentral lists this non-coding RNA (244 nucleotides) under Enterococcus sp. RNAcentral describes it as "T-box sequence". It matches the Rfam family "T-box leader". From Rfam's summary of the family: Uncharged tRNA acts as the effector for transcription antitermination of genes in the T-box leader family. The record is from RNAcentral. Lineage: Bacteria; Bacillati; Bacillota; Bacilli; Lactobacillales; Enterococcaceae.
UUUAAUGCAGUGAUUAAGUAAGUAAAAUAGAUGAUUCAUUUAAAGAGAGCUUCGGUAGGUGAAAAGAAGCAAUGAGGAUAUAUUUGAAAAUGGCUUAAGAGCAUUUUUUAUUCGAGUUAAUUAAUAUUAAUAAGAGUAAAACGGCAGCAUCCGUUACCUUGCUAGAGUAUGAUAGUACUUGAAGAGUAGUUAGAUGUGAGUCUAACUAAAAAUGAGGUGGUAACGCGUUUAAAACGUCCUCAAA